This 253-nucleotide ribosomal RNA is filed under the name uncultured bacterium. RNAcentral's name for it is "partial 16S ribosomal RNA". It matches the Rfam family "Bacterial small subunit ribosomal RNA", at positions 524 to 776 of the family's 1533-position model. The record is from RNAcentral.
GACAGAGGGGGCAAGCGUUGCUCGGAAUCACUGGGCGUAAAGGGCGCGUAGGCGGCCAUUCAAGUCGGGGGUGAAAGCCCAGGGCUCAACCCUGGAAUUGCCUUCGAUACUGUUUGGCUAGAGACCGGAAGAGGUAAGUGGAACUGCGAGUGUAGAGGUGAAAUUCGUAGAUAUUCGCAAGAACACCAGUGGCGAAGGCGGCUUACUGGUCCGGUUCUGACGCUGAGGCGCGAAAGCGUGGGGAGCAAACAGG